UAAACUCGAAGAGGUAGAUUUGCCUCAAGAUAUAGAUCUUCUGAAUAAAUGGACUAUUCCGAAAGUUGAAUUAAAAACUAUUUAUGAAUAUGGAUUUUUUGAUAAAAUCAAACACAAACAGAUUAUUAAAACCUCAGAACAAUCUCUUGCUCUGAAUGCUGAUGAACAGAUUAUUCAACUUCUGCAUAAGCGAGAUAUUGAUAUGUUUAA
This 210-nucleotide long non-coding RNA is filed under the name Capsicum annuum. RNAcentral describes it as "long non-coding RNA (CANN_LNC015309)". Lineage: Eukaryota; Viridiplantae; Streptophyta; Magnoliopsida; Solanales; Solanaceae. The record is from RNAcentral.